Hippocampus zosterae (dwarf seahorse) is the source of this 1343-nucleotide long non-coding RNA. RefSeq lists it as uncharacterized. The record is from RefSeq and is a predicted model, not a curated record. NCBI's taxonomy places the organism in Eukaryota, Metazoa, Chordata, Actinopteri, Syngnathiformes, Syngnathidae. The transcript has 2 exons.
GCGUCGAACAGUGGAAGGAGCGGAAAAAAAGCUCAACAAGUCGCCUCGCCUGCACUCGGAAUCGCGAAAGUGUCUCACGCUGGAGAAGAAGACGUCGCAACUUACCGGCUGUUUACACCGCCGAGGGGGCCAAUGUUGACAUGGGAUAAGUACUUCUUCCUCGGUGUCAUCCUCGAGGCUCAGCAGACUGUCAAAGCUCAGCAGGUGGGGCAGCGUCUCUUGCUGGAGGCCGAUGGGGGUCGUCGUGUGGAAUGUGCCCCAAAACGACUGCUGGCUGCUGUGGUUUGAAGUGGAGGCACAGUCGCCUGGGCUUCCAGGCCGCUGCGCGACACCGCCGCAAGGCUCACGGACGGGAGUGCGGCACCUGAGCAUGCUGUCGUCGCACUUUUUUGCAUCGACGUCUUCCUCGAGCGCCUUCUGCCAGGAGCUUUUCACGUCCACAACUUGAAAAGAAAAAAAAAGGUAAGAAAAAUGAGACGCCGCUUGUCUGUGAAAUUGUAUUACACUGCCCCCUUGUGGCCAUGGCAAGCACACCACAAGGAGCAGCAGAAUGAAUUGAAGCUCUUAUCAAUACUAUCAGUGGAUUUUUGAAAGCACAGGAAAAAGCAGCAGCCAACUCACUCAAACUCUCAGGCGUGCGAGGAAGCUGCUUUCUGGUGUUGAAGGGGUCUCCGUGAAGGAUGCUGAGGAUUCCCUCCAGUUCCAAACUUGCCAGUCUGCCUGUUGAUGGACUGGUUGUGGUUACAGCAUCUGCAAACUUUUACAUACACGUGUUAUCACAGCGUUGCCGUUACUGUAUUUGAGAAGCGGUGGGGUGUGGGGGGGGCUUUACCUGGUCGGCGAGGUUAUCACAUUCCAGGUCUAAUAUUGGCUUCGCUGUCACCUUCGACUGACUGCGGCUGGUCGGCCUCACGAUUGUCUGUGAUCAGGGUUAAAAUAGUUCAGGAAUUUUUUUUAAUGGACUUUUCAGGGCGGGGUUUUGUGUUUUUAAAUGUGUGUUUUUCUUGUGUGCACGAUUAAAAAAAACUAAACAAAACAAAAAAAAAACAGACAAAAAUACAGUAUUUUAAAAACACCCGCCCACAUAUCAAAUACAAGUACUGCAUUAACAGUCCACAGACUUUGAAGUACAUGAAGUGCAGUGCUUAAAGCUGCUUCAAAAGUUAGACGCAUCACAACCCUAAGGUCUUGAAGCUCAUAUGGCCUCACUUUCCACCAUUUCGUCGGCAAGUAAAUGUAGAUUUGUGGCUUAAAAUCCACUAAAUUCACUAAAUUCUGAUUCCCAAACGACCAUUCGACCUUCCUUCUGGUCGUGUUGUCGAAAUAAAAUCAUUUCAAAUCAA